Molecule: non-coding RNA, 174 nt
Organism: Taeniopygia guttata (zebra finch)
Lineage: Eukaryota; Metazoa; Chordata; Aves; Passeriformes; Estrildidae
Source: RefSeq, a predicted model, not a curated record
GCAGCUGCAGAGGGCAUUACAUACUCUAUGAAGCUGCAGAGGGCAUUACACACUCAGGGGGAGCUGCAGAGGGCAUUACACACUCAGUGGGAGGUGCAGGGGGCAUUACACACUCUAUGAAGAUGCAGAGGGCAUUACACACUCCGUGGGAGCUGCAGAGGGCAUUACACACUC